This is a small nuclear RNA of Pongo abelii (Sumatran orangutan), 108 nucleotides long. Lineage: Eukaryota; Metazoa; Chordata; Mammalia; Primates; Hominidae. The record is from Ensembl.
GUGCUUGCUUCGGCAGCACAUACACUAAAAAUCGGAAAAAUACAGAGAAGAUUAGCAUGUUCCCUGUGCAAGGAUGACACACAAAUUCAUGAAGCAUUAAAUUUUUUU